Molecule: non-coding RNA, 2585 nt
Organism: Rattus norvegicus (Norway rat)
Lineage: Eukaryota; Metazoa; Chordata; Mammalia; Rodentia; Muridae
Source: RefSeq, a predicted model, not a curated record
GUGUUUUAGCAGGUGGCACAGAUCACAAAGCUGAUGCCAUUCCUUCUGACCACUCCUUUAGCUCCCUGUCUGCUGGGCUUCCCCAGUAGAAAGUCAUUCUUUUCUCUCCAGAAUCUGUAAGCCUUGAGCACGGAAGUCUCUUGCUUCCCUACCUCGCCCUGUGUCAAGCUUCCAAUCGGUGUCUGGCUUCAGAAUGGACUCACAGUUGCUCAUUUCAUCCAACAGAAUAUAAUCUGUUAACAGUGUGAUCUUUUUGAUGCUGAUUUGACCGGUGGGGGGUCCAGUCGGGCUGAUAUUUGUUUCUUUUAAUGUUUCUAUUUUUCUUCUUGAGCUUGUUCUUCUUUCUGGCAUAGCAAGAUAGUAUCUUCGUCUGGCAUUUUCUAAGUUUCUGUUUUGUAUUCAGUCGUUUGUCCAGGAGGCUCUGACUCCCUGGAAUAGAGGACAGUACAGAGAAGGGAGUGUGUGUGUGUGUGUGUGUGUGUGUGUGUGUGUGUGUGUGCGUGUGUGUGUAUGUGUGUGUGUGUGUUGCAGCUCCAUUGGGAGAGUGCUUGCUAAGGUAGAUGAAGACCUGCAUAGACUUACAUGUAGAUCCAUCGCAAAUGUAUGGUGUUGUAGGAUACGCCUGAAAUCCCAGUACACAGGAAGCAGAAGCAAGAGAGUCAGAGGUUCAAAGAUGUCCUAAGAUCCAACCCAGUGAGUUUGAGGCCAGCCUGGAUACAGGAAACUUUGAAAAUAAAAGUAUCUGGAUGGUAGAUGUGCUCAUUCAUGCUGUAGCAUCAUUUCCCCCAAAUACUUUAUUACUCCCAAAUUACAGAGACAUGUGAUUUCCUGAAAUGAGCCAAAUCAAGUCAGAAUAGAGUAUCUGUAAAGGCAGGUCUACUGGGAAACCUCUCUGGGGUUAGUGAGUUCACUGAGCCCAAGGAAAUUGACCAGGAAAGUCACCAUGGGAAGGAGACAGAGGGGAGGGGGAUAGGGUAGAGGGACGUGUAGAGGAUAUAUGGAGGGUGGGGUAUGCCAGGUAGGGACUGAGGGAUGCUAGGAGAACCUGAAAGCCAGGUCCACUUUGGUAUGUUAGAUAUGCACCUCAGCUGUUUGUCCAGGGUCUGAAACCCAACACAGAGUAAAGCUUAUUUUUGUGUUCAUCUAUACCUAUGUAGAACUAUUCAUAUCAAACAUCUGUCAUGGUUUGAAUAUGCUCGGCCCAGGGAGUGACACUAUUAGAGUAGGUGUGUCACUGUGGUCAUGGGCUUAAGACCCUCACCCUAGCUGCCUGGAAGUCAGUCUUCUGCUAGCAGCCUUCAGAUGACGUUGUAGACUUCUCAGUUCCUCCUGCACCAUGCCUACCUGGGCGCUGCCAUGCUCCCACCUUGAUGAUAAUGGACUGAACCUCUGACCCUGUAAGCCAGCCCCAAUUAAAUGUUGUCCUUAUAAGAGUUGCCUUGGUCAUGGUGUCUGUUCACAGCAGUAAAACCUUAACUAAGACAACCUCCAUUUCCAAUCUAGUCUUUCUGGUUAUUCUUAAAAUUCUUCCCUACUGGACUGUCCUCUCUGGAUGAGGUAACUCACUACCCAUCUGCCAUCUCUGCUGCUGGUUUCCUUUUUAGGCUGUCUCCUCUAGCUGCUGGGGCAUUAGGUCUGGGUCCUAAUUCCACUGUAGGACACCAUUCUUCGGUCUGAAGGAUCACUUACAUCCCAUCUUUCCAACCUUCUGGCCCUAUGUUGGCUCUGACUUAGUACCUCAGGCUGUCCCCCUUGCCCCUGCGGACACCCGGCUUACCUGACAGAGCCUCUGCAAUUUCAAUCUGCAGUCUACACAGACACCUGUUCCUCCCUGCUCAGAUCUUCUGAGGAAGGCCAUUUGGUGAAAUAGCGCCUAGAAGUCAGUGUGACUCAGCAAAUUUUUAAGGAUCUUCCUGGGUCUGUACAAAAACUGUGUGUGUAGGGGUUGGGGAUUUAGCUCAGUGGUAGAGCGCUUGCCUAGCAAGCGCAAGGCCCUGGGUUCGGUCCCCAGCUCCGAAAAAAAGAAAAAAAAAAAAAACUCUGUGUGUGUGUGUGUGUGUAUGUGUGUAUGUGCGCGCGUGUGCACUCAUGUAUAUUUGUGUGUGAGGGUUUAAGCUCUGAAAAAAAAAAAAGAACAACAAAUAAUAACCAAAUCUGGAAAAAAAAUAGGCAACAUAGUUUCAAUUUUCGAGCCUGUUAAGAAUGCUAAGAUAGAAUUCAUUAUCCUUCUUCCUCCCUGCUCCGGCCUUGAGACAAACUGAUAUGGUGCCAUGAGUGGAGAAGAAGGUUGUGACAUCAGCCCCUAAGCUCAGCUACCUGUGAAGUUUCUGCAGGAGUGAGGAGGGAGCAGCUACGGAGCAGACGCAUGCAGCAGCUGUGAGACUUGACCGGAAGGACAAGGCAGGAAGCCGCUGGUGGAGUAGGCGAUCGAAAACUGUUUCUCAGUUCCUCGGAGACAUGGCUGUUCAUGCGGCUCUUCUGCGUGACCUUUCAGAGUCUCGGCGAAAACCUGGGCAAGGAGAAAACUUACUUUUAACAAACUCAUAUUUGGCUCAAUAAAAAAAUGCAGUGAAUUUCCAUAGAAA